UGAAGGCUGUUUUGCCACAAGAUGGCGAUCUUCAGAUCAAUGUCAAAGCCGCCCAAGGCGAGGGGAGCAGCCCUGCAAAAAAAAAAAAAAAAAAAAAAAAAAAAUCUUGGCCUUUGUUCAUUUUGCAUCCCUGGAGCCGCACGGAUAAUUAUUUCACUUACCGGGCUCCGCGUUACAAAAAGCCGCUCGGGAUGCCGGGGGAGGGGAGGGAGCUGCUGGGGCUUCCCGGUGGAGUUAAAGCCUCUGGGCUUUGGGUUGGAACAUGAGCGGAGGGAACUGCUGCAAGUGUAGUUAAAAGCACAUGCUCAGUCGGUAGAGAGCUGUUUUGAAAUGCUUUCGGAACCGAUCGAUUUCAUCAGAGAUGCUGCAUUAAAAGCUCGGGAAUGUUUAUCUCUUUGACCUCCCCUCAGCAGUGCCAAGAAGUGAGAAGCAACGUCUCGGAAAAUAGCAGGGUUAUGGGGUCUACCCAAGUCACUGGUCACUACGGGCUGCUCAGAAGGAAACCGCGCUGUGAUGCUCUCCCCACCUCACUGGAAAAAACAGGCGCCUUUGCAUAAGGAUUUUAUGGGUGUUGCAAAGUAGUAGGUAGAAGCCUCCGCCCGCUCCCCCUGCGCUCUCAGCGAGCACGGAGGGAGGCUGAGGAGGACCCCUCCGGCUCGGCAGGCCGAGGGAAGGGACACUCACCUCCUACCGUAAGGCGGAGGGGGGAGGAAUUCUCCGGGGGAAUGUCACGCCGCGGGAAAAGCGUUUUCCCGUGGCAGGCACACACUGCAGGGCAAGACCACGUGGGAGCUUAACAGAACCGUGGGGUGGAGGGGAACGGUUGCUCCUCGGGGCGGCUUGAAAUCUGAGGGCUGUCACCAGGGAUGCUGGGCCCACCGCCCGCUCCACCGCCGCCCCGCCCGCAGGCAGCGGCCCCGCCGCCGCCGCCAGCGCCCUCUUGGGCAUG
Long non-coding RNA from Neopsephotus bourkii (Bourke's parrot), 949 nucleotides. RefSeq lists it as uncharacterized. The record is from RefSeq and is a predicted model, not a curated record. NCBI's taxonomy places the organism in Eukaryota, Metazoa, Chordata, Aves, Psittaciformes, Psittacidae. The transcript is spliced from 3 exons.